GCUGAUCUAACCGUCAAUCACAAACAUACACCCCCCCCCAUCAAACAAAACAUUUGCCAAACCCAGUAGAUGCGAUCGAACAGUGACUAGUCAAAAUAAAGUACCGCAAGGGAACCCCCACAAGCAACUAACAGCAAAGAUUACCCCUUGUACCUUUUGCAUCAUGGUUUAGCAAGUCAUCAGGACAAGAAGACUCCUAGCCCUUACCCCGAAACCGGAUGAGCUAUUUUCAAGCAGUCUCAUGGACACACCCUUCUCUGUAGCAAAAGAGUGGGAAGACUUAAAAAUAGAAGUGAAACGCUUAUCGAAUCCGGAGAUAGCUGGCUACCCCAAACAGAAUCUAAGUUCUACUUUAGGCCUCUAUAUACCCAAUAAUUAACCUAAAGGUAAUCAAUAAGGGUACAGCCCUAUUGAGACAGGAUACAACCUGAAUUUGAAAGACCAGAACCCCAUUUUUCCCGUAGGCCCUAAAGCAGCCACCCACAAAAAUAUCGUCAAAGAAUUAGCCAAAACAAUUCACACACUCAACUCUUCCUUCAAACUUACUAAAGGUGAACCUACCUAAGUAGGAACCAUUAUGCUAAAACUAAUAAUAAGACUAUAUCUCUUCAACGCACCCCCCAACUAGUACAGAAAAUCUUCUAGUAGUUAACAGACCACAAAAGGUAAACAAUCAAGCAAAUACCCACCUUCAAACUUACUGUAACCCCAACACAGGAGCGUUAAAAAGAAAGAUUAACUGUUAUAAAAGGAACUCGGCAACCAUGGGCUCCAACUGUUUAACAAAAACAUAACCUUUAGCUAAACAAAUAUUAAAGGCAACGCCUGCCCAGUGAACUAUUAAACGGCCGCGGUAUCCUAACCGUGCAAAGGUAGCAUAAUCAUUUGUCUAUUAAUUGUAGACUUGUAUGAAAGGCAAAAUGAGAGCCCGACUGUCUCUUAUAACAAAUCAAUUAAACUGAUCUCCCUGUACAAAAGCCGGGAUAUCACCAUAAGACCAGAAGACCCUGUGAAGCUUUAACUAACCUAUUAAACCAAAUAAUAACUAUUUUCGGUUGGGGCGACCUUGGAACAAAAAAGAACUUCCAAAUAUAUGACUUCCUCAUACUAAGGCAAACAAGCCACAUUAGACCCAGUAUAUCUGAUAAAUGAACCAAGUUACUCCAGGGAUAACAGCGCUAUCUUCUUCAAGAGCCCAUAUCAAAAAGAAGGUUUACGACCUCGAUGUUGGAUCAGGACAUCCUAGCAAUGCAACCGUUACUAAGGGUUCGUUUGUUCAACGAUUAACAGUCCUACGUGAUCUGAGUUCAGACCGGAGCAAUCCAGGUCAGUUUCUAUCUAUGUUUAGCCAUACCCAGUACGAAAGGACCGGUAUAGCAAAGCCUAUACUCCAAGCACGCUUUAACCAUAAAGUAUUACUCAUAUACCAAAACAUUAACCACACUAAACCUAAACCAGGUUAAUUAAGGACUACAGGCCUUA
This 1482-nucleotide ribosomal RNA is filed under the name Macrovipera schweizeri. Its description in RNAcentral is "16S ribosomal RNA". It matches the Rfam family "Bacterial large subunit ribosomal RNA", at positions 577 to 2849 of the family's 2925-position model. Lineage: Eukaryota; Metazoa; Chordata; Lepidosauria; Squamata; Viperidae. The record is from RNAcentral.